RNAcentral lists this ribosomal RNA (1031 nucleotides) under Ophiocordyceps camponoti-bispinosi. Its description in RNAcentral is "SSU rRNA". It matches the Rfam family "Eukaryotic small subunit ribosomal RNA", at positions 74 to 1116 of the family's 1831-position model. The record is from RNAcentral. Lineage: Eukaryota; Fungi; Ascomycota; Sordariomycetes; Hypocreales; Ophiocordycipitaceae.
CUAUACGGCGAAACUGCGAACGGCUCAUUAUAUAAGUUAUCGUUUAUUUGAUAGCACCUUGCUACUUGGGUAACCGUGGUAAUUCUAGAGCUAAUACAUGCUAAAAAUCCCGACUCCGGAAGGGAUGUGUUUAUUAGAUUCAAAACCAAUGCCCCCUGGGCUCACUGGUGAUUCAUGAUAACCGCUCGAAUCGCACGGCCUUGCGCUGGCGAUGGUUCAUUCAAAUUUCUUCCCUAUCAACUUUCGAUGUUUGGGUAGUGGCCAAACAUGGUUGCAACGGGUAACGGAGGGUUAGGGCUCGACCCCGGAGAAGGAGCCUGAGAGACGGCUACUACAUCCAAGGAAGGCAGCAGGCGCGCAAAUUACCCAAUCCCGACACGGGGAGGUAGUGACAAUAAAUACCGAUAUAGGGCUCUUUUGGGUCUUAUAAUUGGAAUGAGUACAAUUUAAAUCCCUUAACGAGGAACAAUUGGAGGGCAAGUCUGGUGCCAGCAGCCGCGGUAAUUCCAGCUCCAAUAGCGUAUAUUAAAGUUGUUGUGGUUAAAAAGCUCGUAGUUGAACCUUGGGCCUGGCUGGCCGGUCCGCCUCACCGCGUGCACUGGUCCGGCCGGGCCUUUCCCUCCGCGGAACCCCAUGCCCUUCGCUGGGCGUGGCGGGGAAACGGGACUUUUACUUUGAAAAAAUUAGAGUGCUCCAGGCAGGCCUAUGCUCGAAUACAUUAGCAUGGAAUAAUGAAAUAGGACGCGCGGUUCUAUUUUGUUGGUUUCUAGGACCGCCGUAAUGAUUGAUAGGGACAGUCGGGGGCGUCAGUAUUCAACCGUCAGAGGUGAAAUUCUUGGACCGGUUGAAGACUAACUACUGCGAAAGCAUUCGCCAAGGAUGUUUUCAUUAAUCAGGAACGAAAGCUAGGGGAUCGAAGACGAUCAGAUACCGUCGUAGUCUUAGCCAUAAACUAUGCCGACUAGGGAUCGGGGGAUGUUAUUCUGUGACUCGCUCGGCACCUUCCGAGAAAUCAAAGUGCUUGGGCUCCA